GAAAUUCAUGUUUGUAUGGUUCUAUGAUGUCUAAAUGACAAGUUCAUGUUAGCUAUAUUCUUCAAUAUGAAUUCCAUGCUUUUCAUGUGUUGCUAUUGUGGUGGUAUGAAGCAUGCAAGAUAAUGGAGAUAUACAAUAUGUACAUGAAAUAUAUCCAUGUAUUCUCUACAAUGUUUAAGAUGUUGAAUAGCUAUAUGAAAUAUGAUAUCCCC
This 212-nucleotide long non-coding RNA is filed under the name Capsicum annuum. RNAcentral's name for it is "long non-coding RNA (CANN_LNC007138)". The record is from RNAcentral. Lineage: Eukaryota; Viridiplantae; Streptophyta; Magnoliopsida; Solanales; Solanaceae.